GGUCGGAUGGCGCAAUGGCUAGCGCAUCGGUUUUCGGCUCCGAAAACCACCGAAGGUUGCGAGUUCGAGUCUCGUUCCGAUCG
Molecule: non-coding RNA, 83 nt
Organism: Talaromyces proteolyticus
Lineage: Eukaryota; Fungi; Ascomycota; Eurotiomycetes; Eurotiales; Trichocomaceae
Source: the annotation of a RefSeq genome assembly